Molecule: long non-coding RNA, 3562 nt
Organism: Peromyscus californicus insignis
Lineage: Eukaryota; Metazoa; Chordata; Mammalia; Rodentia; Cricetidae
Exons: 3
Source: RefSeq, a predicted model, not a curated record
ACAACAGGUAGUCUAUCCCAGGCCCUGACUGUGCACAACCUCAUGCUUACAAGUGGUGGCUGUCUAGACACAAGACAUACAAAGACAAAGGGAUCUGCCUUGGGAACGGUGUGCAGGGUCAGCCGGGCAAGGGCAUCUGGAAGGCUUGCCAGUGAGUGACCUGGGUCCUUGGGGAUGGUAGCUGCAAGCUGUAGGAAUGCUGGCCGCACCUCCACUCUGGGGUCAGCAGCCAGAGGUGAGGGCUCUUAGCCCUUGGGUUGGGAACCCUGGGCUGCAUUUGGGGCAGGUGUUGAGGCGUGUGGGACGGAAGGGACUUAUAAAGAGGCUGUACAAGCCCCUUUGCCCAGAGACAGCCAAUUAGGCCUGACAGUCUCUGUCUGGUUGUUCUGUGGCAGGCAAGCUGUGUGCGCCCCCAAAGACUGUGUUCAGGAGCAGCUGGUGGCAGGCCACACUGGCAGCAGUGGGUGUGUCUGUACCACUAUGUGGAGGCAUGCUGGGAAGGUCCUGGCGCAUUUCAGAAGGAAAGCCAGAUGAAGCGAAGCUUCCUGGGUAUUCAGUGACACAUGGAUGCGUGAUGCCUAGAAUGGUGGGGUUGGUCCAGCCAGGGCCACAUAGUGCCUGGGCGUUGGGUCCUGGACCUUCAGUUCCAUGCCAAGUCUCUGCAGAGGGAUUUGGCUGUCUGUCUCUGGUGAACCCUGGGUGCAGUGAACAGGCUGCAGAUCAGCCUGGCAGGUGCUGAUGGGAGCUGGUCUCCUUGGAUUACUCUGCUGCUCUCAUAGGUAUACAUGAACACAUACAUACACCACUCCCCCAUGGAUUCAUGCACACCCAUAUUCAUGUACACACACCCACAUAAGUAUAUUUACUCAAGUAUGUACACAUAUACCCAUUACCUAUAGACAUGGAUGUCCAUGAAGAUGCACUUACAUUUACAUGUGUGUAUACAUGUGCACCUGUGCAUACAUGCAUGCAUGCUUACACACCACUUGCAUGUGCAUAGCCAUACAUUUACACCGUGUGUGUAAAUACAUACCUUUAUAUUCUUUACAGUGUACCUGUGUAUUUACUCUCACACACGUGUGUCUCUGCACCUGUAAGUACCAGUCAAAGGCAUGUAUGCACACACAUAUGUGCAUGUGUACCUACAUGAGUAUGCACAUAUUCAUACACAAUGCAUGCACACAGCCACACAUAAGCAUGCAUGCACACAAAUAUGUCGAUGCUGUGUGUGCAACCAUUCACACCUUGAUUCUGAAGAGAGUGGAGUCAUCAGAUAUGAAUUUAAGCUCCUGAUUAUGGCUUUCUUUGCUGCUUGGCAGCUGAGUGACCCUCCCCAUUCCCAGGCCUCAGUUUCCCUGUCUGGAAUGAACACAUUGCACUACUGCCGCUCAGAUCUGUGCUGGCUCUCAGAUACUCCCUCUCCCUGAGGGAGAGUCUCCGCCGACCUGCCCAUCUUUGUCUUUGGUUGGUGCCUGUGGGCACUGAGGAGAGCCAGGGUCGGGGAGAGACCUCGCUUCACUUAGCUCCGACUGGUGACAGAGUCAUGGAAACAGCUGUGUCUCUUGUCUCAAGAGCGAGAGGACGUGUUUUUCUUUGGAGUGGAGCUGAGGAUUUUUUUUCCCCUCUAUGUUUAUGUGCAGUUUCAGUUUUAAAGAUGAGCCAGGGGAAGCUGGAGUUUGCUUCCCUCUCUGCCUCUCCCUGAAGAAUUCCAGAGACCAAUCUGUCUUGUCAGAACAUGGCAGGGAUCCGGCAGCCGGGCCGGCUCCUGGCGCCCCAGCCUGCAGACUGAAUCCAUUGCAUAUUGAUCAUUGAUUUGGCAAAGUCGAGUUCCAACAGAGCUGGCGCAGCCCUCUUGAGGGAGAAGUGCUUGCUGGACUGGCUGGGAUUGGCAUGGGAUGUAAUGGAAAACAGAGGGUCAGUGUCUCUCUCUCUCUGCGUACCCACUGUGUGCCUUGGCAUUGGUCAGCUAGGGUUCAAGCUCCGGCCUGCUUCUGCAUCCCUGGCUGCUUGCAGCCUCGCUGCCUCCAGCCUGCCAUUCUGGCAGCUUGGACCCCAUAUCAGUGUUGAGAGUCCCAGAUGUUCCCACUGCUGCCCCAGUGGCCUGAGCUGGUGUUUGAGGGCCUCAGCCCCCAGUCUCCACAUCUAUUAAGUCCCUCACUGGGUCUGCAGACACAACCUAGCAUUGUCUGUGUGCAGCCCUGCAGGUACACAGAUGAUCAGAUCAAGGGUUCUUGUUCCCCGAUCCCGCUCCUCCAGCCUUGGCCUUUAGAAACUGCUGACGCAGAGCCUGGAGCCUGGACUGCGUGGCCAAUUGGCUUCAGAACAUGACCUCAAGAAACCACCUUUCUUUCAUUGGCUGCCCAGGCUGCCCAGAAGGUCUGUUAAACCCUGGUCCAAGGCUGUAGGGUCCAAGCUGGCCAGUAAGACCUCCUUGUCAGUGAAAAAUGGAGAGGAAGGCCUGCUGCUACCCUUCCUGGUUGGUCACGCAUGUAUGAGGAUGUGAUGCCAAGAGACGCAGCAGCUGUCUGUCCUGUGACCAAGAGAAGAUGAGGACAAGGAUGAACGUCAUAGAAGAAACAGUCUGUGCCCCUAAUGCCACUCUUUUGGAGCUGCCCUGAACCACCCUGGAGCCACCCUUGACCAGGCUUCCUGCUGUUGAGGCGCAAACUAAAUAAGCUCUUCCCACUGUACAUCCAAAGCUGCCCGUGGUCAAGUCCCCAGGACCUGUGACUCUGGCACCGCGUGCCUAACGUACCUUUUAUGUCUGUGUGUGAUGGGAUUAGCAGCUUGAGCCCCUGCCUUGGCCUACUGCGGUGAUGGACUGUAAUCUAGGAUUGUAAGCCAGUAAAUUCUUCCUCUUCUGUGUUGCUUUUUGCCAGGGUGUUUAAUGAAAGCGGGGCAAAGUAUUCGGAGGCGGAUGUACUUCCCUGGUUACAGAGAAGCACUCAGGUGGCAGGGGGCUCGGCUGCUGCCCCCCAAAUGAACACUAGUAGAUACCGCCAUGGUGCCUCCCCACUUCCACAGAGACUACUGUGGGGACCCUCGUUUGGUGCCAAGGGCUUCUGUCUUCAGAAUGGCCUCCCCACGUCUCUCAUUGUUGGGAGCUGCUGCUUUCCUGUGCUCCCUUUAGGAUGGCUGCCCCGGCGCUGCAUCGCCCUCUGCGUGGCACCAGUGCAGCAAGGACAUGAAGGAAUCCCACACUGAGAGUGAGCGUUCAUUCAUAGCAAAGACACCCAAGGCCCAGAGAGCACUGAGCCCAACCUCACCCAUGCCUCUUCCCAUUUGCUGCCACCAAGAAUGUGCAGAGUUCCAGAGGGGCUGCAGAGUGGUCUUGAUCCCCAGCCCCAGCGGUGUCACAGGUGACUAAAGACAAGGAGGUCACCUAUUCUUACAUCCAUUUGGCACAUGAGUUGGACACAAGAGUGAAACCUCAGGAAGAAAGCAUGGCCCAUGUGUGUGCAAACUUCUACUGGAGAUGUGUCCUGGGCAGGAAGGAGACUGGGCUCCGGUUUAGAGCCGAGCAUUGGAUAUAACUGGAAAUAAAUUUAGCUGGUUUACUUGA